GACGAACGCUGGCGGCGUGCCUAAUACAUGCAAGUAGAACGCACAGUUUAUACCGUAGCUUGCUACACCAUAGACUGUGAGUUGCGAACGGGUGAGUAACGCGUAGGUAACCUGCCUGGUAGCGGGGGAUAACUAUUGGAAACGAUAGCUAAUACCGCAUAAUAUUGAUUAUUGCAUGAUAAUUGAUUGAAAGAUGCUAUUGCAUCACUACCAGAUGGACCUGCGUUGUAUUAGCUAGUAGGUGAGGUAACGGCUCACCUAGGCGACGAUACAUAGCCGACCUGAGAGGGUGAUCGGCAACACUGGGACUGCGACACGGCCCAGACUCCUACGGGAGGCAGCAGUAGGGAAUCUUCGGCAAUGGACGAAAGUCUGACCGAGCAACGCCGCGUGAGUGAAGAAGGGUUUCGGAUCGUAAAGCUCUGUUGUAAGAGAAGAACGGGUGUGAGAGUGGAAAGUUCACACUGUGACGGUAUCUUACCAGAAAGGGACGGCUAACUACGUG
RNAcentral lists this ribosomal RNA (505 nucleotides) under uncultured bacterium. RNAcentral describes it as "partial 16S ribosomal RNA". It matches the Rfam family "Bacterial small subunit ribosomal RNA", at positions 28 to 507 of the family's 1533-position model. The record is from RNAcentral.